CAGUGAAUAGGCCCAAGCGACUGUUUAUCAAAAACACAGGUCUCUGCUAAACCGUAAGGUGAUGUAUAGGGGCUGACGCCUGCCCGGUGCUGGAAGGUUAAGAGGAGUGGUUAGCUUCUGCGAAGCUACGAAUCGAAGCCCCAGUAAACGGCGGCCGUAACUAUAACGGUCCUAAGGUAGCGAAAUUCCUUGUCGGGUAAGUUCCGACCCGCACGAAAGGCGUAACGAUUUGGGCACUGUCUCAACGAGAGACUCGGUGAAAUCAUAGUACCUGUGAAGAUGCAGGUUACCCGCGACAGGACGGAAAGACCCCGUGGAGCUUUACUGUA
This 329-nucleotide ribosomal RNA is filed under the name Staphylococcus aureus. Its description in RNAcentral is "partial 23S ribosomal RNA". It matches the Rfam family "Bacterial large subunit ribosomal RNA", at positions 1780 to 2108 of the family's 2925-position model. The record is from RNAcentral. Lineage: Bacteria; Bacillati; Bacillota; Bacilli; Caryophanales; Staphylococcaceae.